GAUGAACGCUAGCUACAGGCUUAACACAUGCAAGUCGAGGGGAAACGACAUCGAAAGCUUGCUUUUGAUGGGCGUCGACCGGCGCACGGGAGAGUAACGCGUAUCCAACAUGCCCAUCACUUGGGAAUAACCUUGCGAAAGUAAGACUAAUACCCAAUGAUAUCCCACGAAGGCAUCGGAAUGGGAUUAAAGAUUUAUCGGUGAUGGAUGGGGAUGCGUCUGAUUAGCUUGUUGGCGAGGUAACGGCCUACCAAGGCAACGAUCAGUAGGGGUUCUGAGAGGAAGGUCCCCCACAUUGGAGCUGAGACACAGUCCAAAAUCCGACGCGAGGCAGCAGUGAGGAAUAUUGGUCAAUGGGCGAGAGCCUGAACCAGCCAAGUAGCGGGCAGGAAGACGGCCCUAUGGGUUGUAAACUGCUUGUAUAAGGGAAUAAAGUGGGUCACGUGUGACUUUUUGCAGGUACCUUAUGAAUAAGGACCGGCUAACUCCGUG
Molecule: ribosomal RNA, 492 nt
Filed under: uncultured bacterium
Lineage: Bacteria
Description: partial 16S ribosomal RNA
Rfam family: Bacterial small subunit ribosomal RNA
Source: RNAcentral